RNAcentral lists this transfer-messenger RNA (353 nucleotides) under Bacilli. RNAcentral's name for it is "CAG-582 sp900760845 Standard tmRNA". It matches the Rfam family "transfer-messenger RNA". Rfam says of the family: Bacterial tmRNA, also known as 10Sa RNA or SsrA, is named for its dual tRNA and mRNA-like properties. Its role is to liberate the mRNA from a stalled ribosome. To accomplish this part of the tmRNA is used as a reading frame that ends in a translation stop signal. Lineage: Bacteria; Bacillati; Bacillota. RNAcentral also lists the same sequence under 1 other name. The record is from RNAcentral.
GGGGUCGUAAUUUGGUUUCGACAGAUUAUGGUUUUGAUUUAGCUGCAGGUAGUAGAUAUGCUUUAAAUAUCACAAUUUAAAAAUAACUGACAAAAGUUUUAAUUUUUCUCCAGUAUACGCUUAAUUAUUAGCAAGGAGGCUGAUAUUUUAAUCAUCCAUAGUUAAAAUAUUGGUUCAUAUAUGUGGAUUAUAUUUAUAUUAGUUCUUAUAUGAUAUAAAUGAAUAAUUUAUAAGAUAGUAAGUAUUAGUUUGUUAGAUGCUUUUGUACUUAUGAAAUUUUAAUUCUAACUAAACCUGUAGAUGCUACUUUGAAAGUGAUUUGGACGGGAGUUCGAGCCUCCCCGACUCCACCA